AGUCGAACGCGAAAGUACCUUCGGGUAUGAGUAGAGUGGCGGACGGGUGAGUAACGCGUGGAAAUCUGCCUGGUAGUGGGGGAUAACAGUCGGAAACGACUGCUAAUACCGCAUACGUCCUACGGGAGAAAGCGGGGGAUCUUCGGACCUCGUGCUAUCAGAUGAGUCCGCGUCCGAUUAGCUAGUUGGAGGGGUAACGGCCCACCAAGGCGACUAUCGGUAGCUGGUCUGAGAGGAUGAUCAGCCACACUGGGACUGAGACACGGCCCAGACUCCUACGGGAGGCAGCAGUGGGGAAUAUUGGACAAUGGGGGCAACCCUGAUCCAGCAAUGCCGCGUGCGUGAAGAAGGCCUUAGGGUUGUAAAGCGCUUUCGCCCGCGACGAUGAUGACGGUAGCGGGAGAAGAAGCCCCGGCUAACUCCGUGCCAGCAGCCGCGGUAAUACGGAGGGGGCGAGCGUUGUUCGGAAUUACUGGGC
This 478-nucleotide ribosomal RNA is filed under the name uncultured Pseudomonadota bacterium. Its description in RNAcentral is "bacterial SSU rRNA". It matches the Rfam family "Bacterial small subunit ribosomal RNA", at positions 60 to 559 of the family's 1533-position model. The record is from RNAcentral. Lineage: Bacteria; Pseudomonadati; Pseudomonadota.